This is a non-coding RNA of Paramuricea clavata, 473 nucleotides long. NCBI's taxonomy places the organism in Eukaryota, Metazoa, Cnidaria, Anthozoa, Malacalcyonacea, Plexauridae. The record is from the annotation of a GenBank genome assembly.
AUUAGUUGCUGAAUAUAUGCUUAUUAUUAAAGUGUGACUCGAUAAUAUUGUUGGCUGAACCAUUGCUACAAACCAUAUUGCUUUUAAAUCGAGUGAUUGUAGCCAUUUGUUGGCAUUGUAAGAAAGAUACUGCAUCUGUCUUAUUUUGUAUUAUUAAUUUUGUAUCACAAUGAAUGUUUGUGAUGAAUGUUUAAAUGACAAUGUGAACUCCAGCUGUAUUCGACAGGCUGAAUAGGCUAGCCACAUGUACGCAGUGCGUAAAUAUAUUUUUACAUAUUGUUAUUCUUGUGUUAGUUUGUGCAGUUAUGUACAAUAAUGUGUGGCUGUUUGCAUGCGUGCCAAACAAAGCUGUUAAAUUAAAAUAAAAAAUUAAAUUAUAAAAUAGUUCCGAGUUCCAAUUUACUGAUGUGUGCUAUCACUAUAUUUCUUUAAUCUUAUUGGAUAAAGGUGUGUGCACACGUCAUCAUUCCUCG